Molecule: unclassified non-coding RNA, 1520 nt
Filed under: uncultured fungus
Lineage: Eukaryota; Fungi
Description: sequence contains 18S rRNA gene, ITS1, 5.8S rRNA gene, ITS2, 28S rRNA gene
Rfam family: Eukaryotic large subunit ribosomal RNA (bases 498-1520)
Source: RNAcentral
GGUUGGAUCAUUACCAAUCCUGACUCGCAAGAGUCUUCAACCCCAUGUGCAUUCGUUAUUGUUUCUGGGCGUUCCUCGUAACGCCCGACCAUUUUAUAAACCUUAUUAUCUGUCUGAAAUUAUUUUAAAUAAUAAAAAACAACUUUUGACAACGGAUCUCUUGGCUCUCGCAACGAUGAAGAACGCAGCGAAAUGCGAUACGUAGUGUGAAUUGCAGAAUUUGUGAAUCAUCGAAUCUUUGAACGCACCUUGCACUCAAUUUCGGUUGAGUAUGCCUGUUUGAGAAUUAUUAGACUUCUUUAACCUUUAUGGUUGAGAUUUGAGCUUUUUGACUUAGUCAAUGGCUUUAAAUUGAUUGCUUGGUUAUCAACGUCAUAUUGUGACUCACCAAAGUGUAUGAAGGGUUCGCCCAACUUCCUUUAGUGUUAGCAGUAGUUGAUUUACUAUGCUCAACUGCAGUUUCGGCUGCAACUAAGUUAUGCAACUAACUUGAACUUUAGUCUCAAAUCAGGUAGGAAGACCCGCUGAACUUAAGCAUAUCAAUAAGCGGAGGAAAAGAAAAUAACAAUGAUUCCCCUAGUAACGGCGAGUGAAGCGGGAACAGCUCAAUUUUGAAAUCUCAGGUGGUAACAUCUGCGAAUUGUAGUUUAGAGAUGCGUUUUCGGGGGCAGCCUUGGUACAAGUUCUUUGGAACGAGACAUCAUAGAGGGUGAGAAUCCCGUCCAUGACCAAGUGUCUGCUUCUAUGUGAUACGUACUCGAAGAGUCGGUUUGUUUGGGAAUGCAGACCAAAAUGGGUGGUAAAUACCAUCUAAAGCUAAAUAUUGGCGAGAGACCGAUAGCGAACAAGUACCGUGAGGGAAAGAUGAAAAGAACUUUGAAAAGAGAGUUAAAUAGUACGUGAAAUUGUCAAAAGGGAAACGCUUGAAACCAGUAUUGUUUGCUGGACUUAGCAAGUCUUUUGACUUGUGUCUUCCAGUUUGCGAGUCAGCAUCAGUUUGAUUCGGGUGAAAAAGCCUCUGAAACGUAGCCUCUCGGGGUGUUAUAGUCAGGGGUCAUAGCCUGGGUUGGACUGAGGACUGCAGCGUCUGUUGGAGAACCUAUCGCCUUGGAAAUUGCUUCUAAUGAAUGCUUGCAUAUAUUAGUUGUAACUAAGAGUACGGUGGGCGUAUCACACUAGCGCUUAGGAUGCUGACGAAAUGGUUUUAAUCGACCCGUCUUGAAACACGGACCAAGGAGUCUAACAUAUAUGCGAGUAUUUGGGUGGCAAACUCUUAUGCGUAAUGAAAGUGAAAAGGUGGGAUCCGCAAGGUGCACCAUCGACCGCGCUCUGUUAUUACUACGGUGGCGUGAGUAUGAGCAUAUCUGUUGGGACCCGAAAGAUGGUGAACUAUGCCUGAAUAGGGUGAAGCCAGAGGAAACUCUGGUGGAGGCUCGUAGCGGUUCUGACGUGCAAAUCGAUCGUCGAAUUUGGGUAUAGGGGCGAAAGACUAAUCGAACCAUCUAGUAGCUGGUUCCCUC